RNAcentral lists this unclassified non-coding RNA (393 nucleotides) under fungal sp. Its description in RNAcentral is "partial internal transcribed spacer region". The stretch from base 1 to 46 matches the Rfam family "Eukaryotic small subunit ribosomal RNA", at positions 1786 to 1831 of the family's 1831-position model. Lineage: Eukaryota; Fungi. The record is from RNAcentral.
AAGUCGUAACAAGGUUUCCGUAGGUGAACCUGCGGAAGGAUCAUUAACACGUAUCCAAACGUUAAACAACCCCGUGAACAUACAACCUGCUCUGGUCGCCCGCUCGCAUGGACAAGCCCAGUAAAUCAAGCCCCGGAAAGUUUUUGAUUUGGGACCUCUGUGCGCGUGAGAAAAACUGACAGCGAUUCAUAGAAGCGGUAGGUCAAGUGACACGGCGUCCCCAAGUGACCAGUGAAUGAAAGUGUCGCUGGAGCGUCAAGGACGACUCUUCAAGAUUGCUAGAGGUCGACCACCGACCGGCUUCCGAACCCCACUUUAUUGCCUUGCCUGUAAGCAUCCAUACGGAUGGGCAGGCCCCCCGAACAACUGUUAACAAUGGAUAUCUUGGUUCUC